UCACGAGUUAAGAAAGAGCUGCCACGAACAGUGGUAGAUCCUGACGUAAGCUCGAGAGGAAGCACUGGCUAACUCUGUGCCAGCAGCCGCGGUAAUACAGAGAGUGCAAACGUUGUUCGGAAUCACUGGGCUUAAAGAGCACGUAGGCGGCGCUACAAGUGUCGGGUGAAAUCCCACGGCUCACCCGUGGAACUGCCCGGCAGACUGUGGUGCUCGAGUGUGGUAGGGGAGAGCGGAACUCCAGGUGGAGCGGUGAAAUGCGUAGAUAUCUGGAGGAACACCGGUGGCGAAGGCGGCUCUCUGGUCCACAACUGACGCUGAGGUGCGAAAGCUAGGGGAGCAAACGGGAUUAGAUACCCCGGUAGUCCUAGCUGUAAACGAUGGACACUAGCUUGGGGUCUCCCUGUGUGAUCUCAGGUGAAGCAAAAGUGAUAAGUGUCCGCCGUGGGGAGUAUGGUCGCAAGGCU
RNAcentral lists this ribosomal RNA (467 nucleotides) under uncultured bacterium. RNAcentral describes it as "bacterial SSU rRNA". It matches the Rfam family "Bacterial small subunit ribosomal RNA", at positions 434 to 895 of the family's 1533-position model. The record is from RNAcentral.